AUCGCUUCUCGGCCUUUUGGCUAAGAUCAAAGUGUAGUAUCUGUUCUUAUCAGCUUAACGGCCCCUAAUGCAGACAACUGGGCCGAGUUCGGGAGCAUCC
This 100-nucleotide small nuclear RNA is filed under the name Ixodes scapularis (black-legged tick). RNAcentral's name for it is "U2 spliceosomal RNA". It matches the Rfam family "U2 spliceosomal RNA". Rfam says of the family: U2 is a small nuclear RNA (snRNA) component of the spliceosome (involved in pre-mRNA splicing). Complementary binding between U2 snRNA (in an area lying towards the 5' end but 3' to hairpin I) and the branchpoint sequence (BPS) of the intron results the bulging out of an unpaired adenosine, on the BPS, which initiates a nucleophilic attack at the intronic 5' splice site, thus starting the first of two transesterification reactions that mediate splicing. The record is from RNAcentral. Lineage: Eukaryota; Metazoa; Arthropoda; Arachnida; Ixodida; Ixodidae.